RNAcentral lists this non-coding RNA (78 nucleotides) under unclassified sequences. The record is from RNAcentral.
AAAUAUUUGCCGCCGGGUAAGCAUCUUUUAAAUAUUCCAUUAGGCCUUUGAGGGAAUAUUCAAAAGAUGCUUUUUGUA